UUCUUUUCAAAACCUCUUCUGCAGUGCUCAGUGGACAGGGCCAUUUGUUUGGCCUUAUUCAGACGCCGUAGACCGUGGCAACAAAGAGCGCUUUCAGUGCACCUCACUGUAAAAGCAUGUGAAAGAGAAAAGCAGGGCAGGGGAAAGAGAAGAAAGGCAUAAAAAAGAAGAAAACAACUUGAAAGAGACAGGAAGGAAUUGUUAAAUUUAGAUGCAGCAUGUAUGGUUGGAGAGAAUACAUAGUGUUUUUCAAACCACUGGGAAGGAUGGAGUAUGACCUGCAUGAAAUAUGGAUUCUCCCAGUGGUCCCACACAGACAGUCCACCGCACCCUGUUGGGCCGUAUCCAGGGAGACGGUGAGUCUUGGCGACGGCCCUGCCGGCCGAGCGUGCAGGACAGGAAAUGGUUGGAGCAGCAGUGUGUUGAUUCCGGCUCCACAUCCUCCCUGACAGCAGACUACAUGAUACACACAAUAGACGCAGACGCUGAUAACCACACACCCAACUACAGCUAUUAUUCACUCCAGACGCACUGUCUCAAAUGAAACGCAACCAUCUACUGAAUCUCAACUGCCACAGUUCAAUCCAAUUAGACAGAGGAUAAAUCAUGUGGCUUUAGAAGACUCAAAAUAUAACUUUCAUGGUACUUUUUGUAAUCAUAGCCACAUAUGAGGAAAACUUACUGUAUUUCUUUUUUUUUUUUACAUUGUAAAUAAAGAUUAUUGAAGUAUAUUUAACAAGAAAAUACUGUUUCAGUUUUUCUGCUUUACAAUUUCACAUUUAACACAAUGUGUUACUUGCUGUUUCUUUGUAAUUGUUUGAAACAUUAACUAUACAUUUCUGAGUGAAAAUUGAUUAUUGAUUGGUUGGUUGGUUGAUUGAUUUAUUCAGUGCAGGAUAUACAGGAUAAUCAGUGAAAAAUAAAAUACUGAGUAGAAUUUUUUACCCAGUUUUUUUUUUUUUUUUUUUUUAUGAAAUAAUGGAACCAAAUUAUAUUAAUUUUUGUUAUAAUAAUGAUUUUGAAACUGUUGUAUUCUUCCUCUGAUGUAGAAUAUAUAAGAUUUAGAGGCAAUAUAAGAUUAAUUUAAGAUUUAGAGCCAUUAUCAUCUUAUUUUCUGUCGACUGUGCAUAUGAAUCAACAAUCAGCUUUUGAGUGCAUGAUUAAUUGACAUUAACAGGCCUUUAUAAAUGAAUAAAAAUAAAUAAAUAAAAAAUAAAAAAUCAGUAUAUGCAUGAUUACAGAUGUGGUGCAUGUCACAUCUCACAAGAAUAAACUACAUCCAAAGCAUGAAAGUAUGGACUUAAAAUAAACAGUGAGUUUGUUGCAAUAAAUGUAAAUGGCUAAUGGCAAACAUGUACAGUAGCACAAUAGCUUUGACUUUCUUUUUCUGUGUUGUGUUGAUGUUAAUAGAUCAUUUCCUCUCCUGACUGUAUCUGAAUCUCAAAAUGUGCUCUCAUGCAAACUCACGCACACUGAAAUGCGAACGUUUAUUCUUAAUGUCAACAAACAACAUAGAGGAAGGGCUUGUGUGUCAAGCGGAAUCAGAACUAGAAUAAUAGUUAAAUUCCUUACAACUACCAUUGUUAGUUUUGUGUGUCAUGCGGGUGAGAAACAAAUGUCAUGAUUUUAAUUUGGGUGAAUGGCUUCUUUAAAGGUCCUCAGGCAUAUCAACAAUUACAUCACUUCAACAUCACUUUUCAGACCUCUGAGCCAUCAGAUGUAAGGUCAGCACUUCUAUCUUGCCUCCAUCCUGGUGGUCUGGGCGGUUUACACCGAGCGGCUCCAGUCAGUCAGUCUCACUGAGAAUGACUGUAAUCCAUUCUAAACACAAAUAAACCAUCUUUUGCACCUAAAAUCAAUAUUGCCAUGUGAUUUAGACUGCUCGGCUUUGAUUCCUCCUGAGUUGUGCACAAUGCAGGUUAGAUUGGAUUUGUUUAAGCAUCAUUUCCAUUCAAAGGGCCCAGAAAGAGGAGGUGUGAGAAGGUUUGGCUGGGAUUGAGCCUUUAUUUUCUGAUUUAGACACCAUGACUGAGAUAGAGUUUCUGAACAAAUGCCGCUCCAGGAGACGAGACACAAUAGAGGAAGUCUGGUGUAAAAGGCCAUGAAAGGAUGAUUAAAGAGAUAAGAUGUGAUCUGUGGUUAAGUUCAACAGUCUGUCCCAUAGCUAGGCACUAAACAGUUUUCUGUCGUCAUGAAAAGCCUACAGAUGGUGAAGAAAGUCACAACUAUCAGAAAGUUUUCAAAAAGUGUCACUAGUCAAGUCAAGUCAAGUCAAGUCACCUUUAUUUAUAUAGCGCUUUAAACAAAAAGAUUGUGUCAAAGCAACUGAACAACAUUAAUUAGGAGAACAGUGUGUCAGUAAUGCAAAAUGACAGUUAAAGGCAGUUCAUCACUGAAUUCAGUGAUGUCAUCAUGCAGCUCAGUUCAGUUUAAAUAGUAUCUGUGCAAUAAUUUGCAAUCAAGUCAACGAUAUCACUGUAAAUGAAGUGUCCCCAACUAAGCAAGCCAUAGGUGACAGCGGCAAGGAACCAAAACUCCAUCGGUGACAGAAUGGAGAAAAAAACCUUGGGAGAAACCAGGCUCAGUCGGGGGGCCAGUUCUCCUCUGACCAGACGAAACCAGCAGUUCAAUUCCAGGCUGCAGCAAAGUCAGAUUGUGCAGAAGAAUCAUCUGUUUCCUGUGGUCUUGUCCCGGUGGUUGUCUGAGACAAGGUCUUUACAGGGGAUCUGUCUCUGGGGCUCUAGUUGUCCUGGUCUCCUCUGUCUUUCAGGGCUGUAGAGGUCCUUUCUAGGUGCUGAUCCACCAUCUGGGCUGGAUACGUACUGGAUCCGGGUGACUGCAGUGACCAUCUGAUCUGGAUACAGACUGGAUCUGGUGGCAACGGUGAUCUCGGAAUAAGAGAGAAACAGACUUAUAUGAGCGUAGAUGCCAUUCUUCUAACGAUGUAGCAAGUACAUCGGGUGUUAUGGGAAGUGUUCCCGGUUCCGGUUUACCUAAUUAAUGCAGCCUAAAAAUCCUUUAACGGAUUUGGAUAUUAGAAGUGUAUUAGUAUGUUAUGUGUAAGCCAGGAUAAAGAGAUGGGUCUUUAAUCUAGAUUUAAACUGCAAGAGUGUGUCUGCCUCCCGAACAAUGUUAGGUAGGUUAUUCCAGAGGGGUAAGGGUGAUUAUAUGAUGCCAUUUUCAUUUUGGCGAUUCAUUUACACAACAACAGCCUGAAAAUGCAAACAUUUGAAAAUGGGUUUCUAAAGUUCAGUAUAUAGGCAUGCAGAAGUUUCUUUACAAAGUGACACUGCCAACUGCUGUUUUUUGUGGAUCCGUGUGACUAUUGGAUAGUUUUAACAAUGCUGUUGUCUGUACACAAAACUUUUAAAAAACGUGACGAAUACCUUUUCCAUUUUGUAGUACAUUGUUUUCAUCAGAGAUAAUUUUUAUACCAGGGUUUUCGAUUUGGUUGUGCCAUAAUUUUAUAAACAUGGUGAUGUGGAGAAACAGCUUUAGCACUGUAAGUUAAUUAAAAUAGUUUUUCCGACAACAUU
Long non-coding RNA from Cyprinus carpio carpio, 3536 nucleotides. Lineage: Eukaryota; Metazoa; Chordata; Actinopteri; Cypriniformes; Cyprinidae. The record is from Ensembl.